RNAcentral lists this non-coding RNA (119 nucleotides) under Foraminifera environmental sample. Lineage: Eukaryota; Foraminifera. The record is from RNAcentral.
CAAUGGAAAGAAAGAAAAGGAAAGAAGAAGAAGAAUCAUACAACAAUUUUUUCCCCUUACCUCCCAAUUUUGCUUUGUUUUUUUUUGUUGAUGUAUUUUUAUUCGCAUGUAUGUAAAUA